This 450-nucleotide ribosomal RNA is filed under the name uncultured bacterium. RNAcentral describes it as "partial 16S ribosomal RNA". It matches the Rfam family "Bacterial small subunit ribosomal RNA", at positions 354 to 796 of the family's 1533-position model. The record is from RNAcentral.
GUGGGGAAUUUUGGACAAUGGGCGAAAGCCUGAUCCAGCAAUGCCGCGUGUGUGAAGAAGGCCUUCGGGUUGUAAAGCACUUUUGGCAGGGAAGAAACAGUGCGUGCUAAUACCAUGCGCGAAUGACGGUACCUGCAGAAUAAGCACCGGCUAACUACGUGCCAGCAGCCGCGGUAAUACGUAGGGUGCAAGCGUUAAUCGGAAUUACUGGGCGUAAAGCGUGCGCAGGCGGCUUUGUAAGACGGAUGUGAAAGCCCCGGGCUCAACCUGGGAAGUGCAGUCGUGACUGAAAGGCUAGAGUGUGUCAGAGGGAGGUGGAAUGCCGCGUGUAGCAGUGAAAUGCGUAGAGAUGCGGAGGAACACCGAUGGCGAAGGCAGCCUCCUGGGAUAACACUGACGCUCAGGCACGAAAGCGUGGGGAGCAAACAGGAUUAGAAACCCUAGUAGUCC